This 581-nucleotide long non-coding RNA is filed under the name Physcomitrium patens. RNAcentral describes it as "long non-coding RNA (PPAT_LNC012515)". Lineage: Eukaryota; Viridiplantae; Streptophyta; Bryopsida; Funariales; Funariaceae. The record is from RNAcentral.
UUGGAUUAGGGUUUGGAUUAGGGUUUAGAUUAGGAUUUAGGAUUUGGAUUAGAGUUUGGAUUAGGGUUUAGGGUUUGGUUAGGGUUUGAUUUAGGAUUUGGAUUAGGGUUUGAUUUAAUGUUUGGAUUAAAGUUUGGACUAAGUUUUGAUUAGGGUUUGAUUUAAGGUUUGGUUUAGGGUUUAGGAUUUGGAUUAGAGUUUAGGGUUGGAUUAGGGUUUGGAUUAGGAUUUGGAUUAGGAUUUAGGAUUUGGUUAGGAUUUGAUUUAGGAUUUGGUUUAGGAUUUAGGAUUUGGAAUAGGGUUUAAUUUAAGAUUUGUUUAGGAUUUGAUUUAGGGUUUAGGAAUUAUUAGGAUUUAAGAUUUAAUUAGGUUUGAUCUAAAGUUGAGUGAAAUUCAAUAGGGUUUUAACUAGAAUUAAAUUAAGGUUGAAUUGACAUAUAUUUGAGUAAAAUUUGUGAUCAUUCUAAUAUUUCUUUAAGAAUUUUAUUGUUUGUUUGAAAUUUCUUUGAGUUGUUUUGAAUUUGAUUAUGUUUGUUUACCAUUAUUAUAGUCUAAUUAGAGCAUUGUUAGUAUUCUAUUAG